AUUGAACGCUGGCGGCGUGCCUAACACAUACAAGUCGAACGAAGCUCCUGGAAUUGAGUUUUCGGACAAGAGGAAGGGAUGACUUAGUGGCGGACGGGUGAGUAAUGCGUGAGCAACCUGCCUUUCAGAGGGGGACAACAGUUGGAAACGACUGCUAAUACCGCAUAACGUAUAUUGAUGGCAUCAUCGGUAUACCAAGAUUUUAUCGCUGAAAGAUGGGCUCACGUCUGAUUAGCUAGUGGGUGAGGUAACGGCUCACCAAGGCUGCGAUCAGUAGCCGGACUGAGAGGUCGAACGGCCACAUUGGGACCGAGAUACGGCCCAGACUCCUACGGGAGGCAGCAGUGGGGAAUAUUGGGCAAUGGGCGCAAGCCUGACCCAGCAACGCCGCGUGAAGGAAGAAGGCUUUCGGGUUGUAAACUUCUUUUGGCAGGGACGAAAAAAAUGACGGUACCUGCAGAAUAAGCUCCGGCUAACUACGUGCCAGCAGCCGCGGUAA
RNAcentral lists this ribosomal RNA (499 nucleotides) under uncultured bacterium. RNAcentral describes it as "partial 16S ribosomal RNA". It matches the Rfam family "Bacterial small subunit ribosomal RNA", at positions 30 to 523 of the family's 1533-position model. The record is from RNAcentral.